This 985-nucleotide long non-coding RNA is filed under the name Olea europaea subsp. europaea. The record is from RNAcentral. Lineage: Eukaryota; Viridiplantae; Streptophyta; Magnoliopsida; Lamiales; Oleaceae.
CUCCGUUUGAUUCCCAUUAAAUUAAAUUACAUUACAUUCCAUUUCUCUCUCUCUUAUUUUCAACCACACAAUCUUCCAUAAAAUAAUAUUACACAUAAAUCGAAAAUUUUUCCUUUUUUUACCAACCACUCAUUUUUCUAAAAAAUACUAUUUCCCCAUUUUCAUUUUUAGGUAAUGGGGUCAAACGGAGGCUAAAUAAUUUUUAGAUCACAAUUAAAUUGUUAGUCACAAAUAACCAAAUACCAAGUCACAAAUUAAUCAUAUUAUUGGUCACAUACACCAAAGCACCCCACUCCCACCUCCGCAGAUGGUUACACACCAUUCUUCACGCCUUGCUCGUCGUCGCAGCACCACCACAAUUGCCACCAACGUGGACUACAACACCACGACCACCAUUGAUCACGACACAGUACACAGCCACCACACAAACCCCAGAUCCGCCAUCGCAGCCACCACACAAACACCUCAAACAAAUCACUGCCACCACACAAGCACUAGAUUUGUCGAGAUCCACGACCACCUCACCAAGGAAACAACACCACAUCAUAGUAAUAAACCACCAUCGCUAAUUAGAUCUAAUAAAAAAACAAAAAAUUGCCGCCACCACAAGAUCUAACAACAAAUCAUGACAAAACUACAAGAUCAACGGUCUGUGAUGUUCACAUUGAACUGCAGAUCGAACAACCCUUCACCACCGAACUGCAGAUCUAACAACAAAUCAUGACAAAACCACAAGAUCAAUGGAGGGGCGAAGCCGCUCUGUGACUUUCACAUCGAACUGUAAAUGGAAUAACCCAUCGCAAGUCACCACCGAUCAACCCAUCACCACUGCUCUAUGACGUUCACAUCGAACAAACCAUCACCACCGCUCUAUAACGUUCACAUCGAACAACCCGACCGAGCUAUUGUAGCGACAGCAAUGGGGGAGAGGGAGAGUAGAAGAGAUACUGAGAAGAGAAAAGAAGAAGAGGGUACUUUAUUAAUU